GAUGAACGCUGGCGGCGUGCUUAACACAUGCAAGUCGAACGGAAAGGCGCCUACUUUCCGGGUUACUCGAUUGGCGCAGGGGGGUGAGUCACGUGUGGGAUCUGCCCUUCACUUCGGGGGAAGCCUUGGGAAAUGGGGCUAUUACCGGGGAGGACAUUUGUUUGGAUGCCAUUGUGGAAAGUUUUUUCGGUUUGGGAUGAGCUCGCGGCCUAUCAGCUUCUCGGGGGGGUAUUGGCCUACGAAGGGGGCGCCGGGUAGCCGACAUGGGAGGGGGGACGGCGUCCAUGGGACUGAGAGACGGAGCAGACUCCUACGGGAGGCAGCAGUGGAGAAUAUUGCAGAAUGGGCGCACGCCUGAUGUAGCGACGCUGCGUGGGGGAUGCUGGCUUUCGGGUGGAAAACACAUUUCGAUGGGGACGAAGAGCAAGUGACGGUACCUGGAGAAGAAGCACCGGCUAACUACGUG
This 466-nucleotide ribosomal RNA is filed under the name uncultured bacterium. RNAcentral's name for it is "partial 16S ribosomal RNA". It matches the Rfam family "Bacterial small subunit ribosomal RNA", at positions 28 to 507 of the family's 1533-position model. The record is from RNAcentral.